UGAGCGAGCAGAUGAGAGAGCUUGCUCCUUUGACGUUGCGGCGGACGGGUGAGUAACACGUGGGUAACCUACCUAUAAGACUGGGAUAACUUCGGGAAACCGGAGCUAAUACCGGAUAACAUUUGGAACCGCAGGUUCUAAAGUGAAAGAUGGUUUUGCUAUCACUUAUAGAUGGACCCGCGCCGUAUUAGCUAGUUGGUAAGGUAACGGCUUACCAAGGCGACGAUACGUAGCCGACCUGAGAGGGUGAUCGGCCACACUGGAACUGAGACACGGUCCAGACUCCUACGGGAGGCAGCAGUAGGGAAUCUUCCGCAAUGGGCGAAAGCCUGACGGAGCAACGCCGCGUGAGUGAUGAAGGGUUUCGGCUCGUAAAACUCUGUUAUUAGGGAAGAACAAAUGUGUAAGUAACUGUGCACGUCUUGACGGUACCUAAUCAGAAAGCCACGGCUAACUACGUGCCAGCAGCCGCGGUAAUACGUAGGUGGCAAGCGUUAUCCGGAAUUAUUGGGCGUAAAGCGCGCGUAGGCGGUUUCUUAAGUCUGAUGUGAAAGCCCACGGCUCAACCGUGGAGGGUCAUUGGAAACUGGGAAACUUGAGUACAGAAGAGGAAAGUGGAAUUCCAUGUGUAGCGGUGAAAUGCGCAGAGAUAUGGAGGAACACCAGUGGCGAACGCGACUUUCUGGUCUGUAACUGACGCUGAUGUGCGAAAGCGUGGGGAUCAAACAAGAUUAGAUACCCUGGUAGUCCACGCCGUAAACGAUGAGUGCUAAGUGUUAUGGGGUUUCCGCCCCUUAGUGCUGCAGCUAACGCAUUAACACUCCGCCUGGGGAGUACGACCGCAAGGUUG
Molecule: ribosomal RNA, 850 nt
Filed under: Staphylococcus sp.
Lineage: Bacteria; Bacillati; Bacillota; Bacilli; Caryophanales; Staphylococcaceae
Description: bacterial SSU rRNA
Rfam family: Bacterial small subunit ribosomal RNA
Source: RNAcentral